This 23-nucleotide non-coding RNA is filed under the name Arabidopsis thaliana (thale cress). The record is from RNAcentral. Lineage: Eukaryota; Viridiplantae; Streptophyta; Magnoliopsida; Brassicales; Brassicaceae.
GGGAUGUGUUGAAUGGUCUAAGA